RNAcentral lists this long non-coding RNA (612 nucleotides) under Coturnix japonica (Japanese quail). Its description in RNAcentral is "lncRNA (ENSCJPG00005021472.1)". Lineage: Eukaryota; Metazoa; Chordata; Aves; Galliformes; Phasianidae. The record is from RNAcentral.
UAUCUGUGGUUGGCUGACGCAUUACUGAGGUGGAUACAAAGCCUCACAGCGGAGGACCUCAGCCUGUUGAUUAGGGAGAUGUGAAUUCAGUUCCCAAGUUAGCAUUUGGACUUAGACCUGCAUUGCAUGAGGUGAUUGAUGUACGUGGAGCGGUAGCCUGGAACGUAAAACCUUAACGUUUCUUCAGCUGUUUGCUUCUAAUGGCUGUUCAGGAUUCUGAGGGGGUAAAUGCUCUGAAUAGAAUCCACUGGUUUCAGGGGGAGAUUGGCAGGCAACAUGACUGUAGGAACACAGAGGAAAUCGAGUUGAAGAAAAAAAAGUGAACCAAUCUAAUUCCUUCAGUGUUGUUCUACAGAGAUAGCCAGCUGAGCUUGCAGGGUAAGUUUGAUUCCUGACACUUCCCACCAUCUCAUCAGGUCCUGGCCACUGUGGUUAAAAGUUUCACAACUUCCUACUAGGUUCUAAACCUCUGGGCUUUGAGGUUCUUCAGCGUGUACAGAAUGCCUUUCCAGCUGUAGGACUUAGGAAUGAUCAGGUUGCGCUUGUUGCAUCCCCUGAGUUCGUUGUUCAACAGAUUUUGGAUAUCUGGGUAGGUUGUACAUAGAAAACAAU